This 301-nucleotide ribosomal RNA is filed under the name uncultured bacterium. RNAcentral describes it as "partial 16S ribosomal RNA". It matches the Rfam family "Bacterial small subunit ribosomal RNA", at positions 509 to 807 of the family's 1533-position model. The record is from RNAcentral.
CAGCAGCCACGGGAAAACAGAGGGUGCAAGCGUUAAUCGGAUUUACUGGGCGUAAAGGGCGCGUAGGUGGUUAUGUAAGUGAGAUGUGAAAUCCCCGGGCUCAACCUGGGAACUGCAUCUUAUACUGCGUAGCUGGAGUGCAGUAGAGGGUAGUGGAAUUUCCGGUGUAGCGGUGAAAUGCGUAGAUAUCGGAAGGAACACCAGUGGCGAAGGCGGCUACCUGGACUGACACUGACACUGAGGCGCGAAAGCGUGGGGAGCAAACAGGAUUAGAUACCCGCGUAGUCCCUGUCUCUUAUAC